Molecule: long non-coding RNA, 213 nt
Filed under: Mytilus galloprovincialis (Mediterranean mussel)
Lineage: Eukaryota; Metazoa; Mollusca; Bivalvia; Mytilida; Mytilidae
Source: RNAcentral
GGACAGGAAAAUUUAUUUCCAAAGUUCCUUAUUUUUGGUUUUCUAUCAAUUUCAAUAUGAACAUACAUUUAGUAUGUUAUUAACAUUUAAGUAAGGAACCUGUUAUUCAGUGGUUGUCGUUUGUUUAUGUGUUACAUAUUUGUUUUUCGUUCAUUUUUAGGCCGCUAGAUAUAUAGUUUUCUCGUUUGCAUUGUUUUACAUUGUCAUUUCGGG